CCAAGGAAGGCAGCAGGCGCGCAAAUUACCCACUCCCGGCACGGGGAGGUAGUGACGAAAAAUAACGAUACGGGACUCAUCCGAGGCCCCGUAAUCGGAAUGAGAACACUUUAAACCCUUUAACGAGUAUCCAUUGGAGGGCAAGUCUGGUGCCAGCAGCCGCGGUAAUUCCAGCUCCAAUAGCGUAUAUUAAAGUUGUUGCGGUUAAAAAGCUCGUAGUUGGACUUGUGUCCCACGCUGUCGGUUCACCGUUNGUCGGUGUUUAACUGGCAUGCCCGUGUGGACGUCCUGCCGGUGGAUGCGGUCGGCCGUGGGCCUCUGGUCUGCGCGUCGGCGGUCCGAUGCAAUCCUACCGCGGUGCUCUUCACCGAGUGUCGAGGUGGGCCGGCACGUUUACUUUGAACAAAUUAGAGUGCUUAAAGCAGGCAGUGGUUCGCCUGAAUAUUGUGUGCAUGGAAUAAUGGAAUAGGACCUCGGUUCUAUUUUGUUGGCUUCCGGAACUUGAGGUAAUGAUUAAUAGGGACAAACGGGGGCAUUCGUAUUGCGACGUUAGAGGUGAAAUUCUUGGAUCGUCGCAAGACGAACCUAAGCGAAAGCAUUUGCCAUGAGUGUUUUCAUUAAUCAAGAACGAAAGUUAGAGGUUCGAAGGCGAUCAGAUACCGCCCUAGUUCUAACCAUAAACGAUGCCAGCUAGCGAUCCGCCGAAGUUCCUCCGAUGACUCGGCGGGCAGCUUCCGGGAAACCAAAGCUUUUGGGUUCCGGGGGAAGUAUGGUUGCAAAGCUGAAACUUAAAGGAAUUGACGGAAGGGCACCACCAGGAGUGGAGCCUGCGGCUUAAUUUGACUCAACACGGGAAACCUCACCAGGCCCGGACACCGGAAGGAUUGACAGAUUGAGAGCUCUUUCUUGAUUCGGUGGGUGGUGGUGCAUGGCCGUUCUUAGUUGGUGGAGCGAUUUGUCUGG
Molecule: ribosomal RNA, 963 nt
Filed under: Austrocarausius mercurius
Lineage: Eukaryota; Metazoa; Arthropoda; Insecta; Phasmatodea; Lonchodidae
Description: SSU rRNA
Rfam family: Eukaryotic small subunit ribosomal RNA
Source: RNAcentral